CCUGACCCCAUGCCGAACUCAGACGUGAAACGCCGUAGCGCCGAUGGUAGUGUGGGGUCUCCCCAUGCGAGAGUAGGGAACUGCCAGGC
This 89-nucleotide ribosomal RNA is filed under the name Escherichia coli. Lineage: Bacteria; Pseudomonadati; Pseudomonadota; Gammaproteobacteria; Enterobacterales; Enterobacteriaceae. The record is from RNAcentral.